Molecule: non-coding RNA, 81 nt
Organism: Arabidopsis thaliana x Arabidopsis arenosa
Lineage: Eukaryota; Viridiplantae; Streptophyta; Magnoliopsida; Brassicales; Brassicaceae
Source: the annotation of a GenBank genome assembly
GAUAGUUUGGCCAAGGUGGUCUAAGGCGCCAGAUUUAGGCUCUGGUCCGAAAGGGCGUGGGUUCAAAUCCCACAGCUGUCA